This is a long non-coding RNA of Sinocyclocheilus anshuiensis, 212 nucleotides long. RefSeq lists it as uncharacterized. The transcript is spliced from 3 exons. The record is from RefSeq and is a predicted model, not a curated record. NCBI's taxonomy places the organism in Eukaryota, Metazoa, Chordata, Actinopteri, Cypriniformes, Cyprinidae.
CUGUCCACCUAGCGUCUCUUACGUUAAGCCGGAUGUGUUCGCGUUCAGGUGGUCUCAUAAGACUAGAGUCGUGAGUCAUUCUCUCUGUGCUGACCACAGGCCAUUCAGAUGGGCUGAUGAUAAAGUCUGGAGGUGUCUGGAGAGGAGAGUAUACAAUAUGUCUGAGACAUACUACAACAAAGCAGCACCUUUCAAUGGGCUUUCGAACAGCA